Lynx canadensis (Canada lynx) is the source of this 1309-nucleotide long non-coding RNA. RefSeq lists it as uncharacterized. The transcript is spliced from 3 exons. Lineage: Eukaryota; Metazoa; Chordata; Mammalia; Carnivora; Felidae. The record is from RefSeq and is a predicted model, not a curated record.
AGACCGUGCUUGGGAUUCUCUCUCUCUGCCCCACUCCCACUCUCCCUAAAAUAAACACACUUGAAAAAAAAUCCUGGCAAAAGGGAAGGCUAGAGAAAAGUGAGGAGCUGAGUUGGAAUUGGAGAGAUACACACACCUAAGUGGAUAUAAAAAGGUAUGUAUGUAUGUGUGUGUGCAUAAAUGCAUGUACUACCUUUGUCCAUCCAGAAUCAAUGAUAUCCCAAUAGCAACUAGCACAGCAAGAGUCCAAAUCUUGGUUCCUAAAUACCAUACUCCAUUAUUAAAAACUUGGGCUCUGUGAAUAAAUAGAUGAUUCCAGGGGAGGGGCAAGGAAACACAAGAUGAGCUUGGAACAUCUUAUGAAAAAAAUAAGGAAAUGCUUAAUGAAUGGAGGGAGAUAUUAUGAGAGGAAAAAAAAGGACACCGGAGCCACAAGGGGCUCCCCCAAUAAACAAAUCAGGGACAAUUUGGGCAUCAAAAUAAUGACAGUAAUAGACUGGAACUCACUGAAUGAAAUAGAAAUCUAUUAGUCUCUACUGAUAUAUAAACACAGGAAUAAAUAAAUGGGCGAAAAAGGACAAGCUCUUUCUUACAGGAGAAUGCCAACUAACAAAUGUGGGCAAAAACCUGGAAAAAGAGAAUCAUUACUUGGCAAUCAUCAUAGUGGUGGCAGACAAAAGUAACAGUUGUCAGGAGAGGUUUGAUGAAGAAGAGGAUAUGAGUAUAAUCUCAGAUUAUCACCCACAGAUUAUUAAUUAGUUACAAAGAGAAAAACGGUGAAUUUCAGGUGAAGCCUGGGAGACACUGACACGACCAGGUGGUCAAGGUUAACAUGUCAGCGGAGAGAUUCAUGUGCCUCCUGAUGGGACGCGUGGCAAAAAGCACCGACAGCACAGGUCCUGAGUGUGGGCAGGAGACACAGGAGGCGGGGGGGCAGGGCAGGGAACUCAAGAAAGAAAGGCCUAACUUCUUUACGACUGACAAGGCCAUGGAAGACAAGAACGAACAACUGGUCAAGGGGAGAAUGUGAAGAGAAUGACAACUAAACGCUACCUGUGUGGUCCUGGAUAGGACUGUGGACCAGAAAGAGAACAGACAUAUCAGGAUGGCUGGCAAAAUCUCAGCAGCGUCUUGGGGCUGGAUGUCAGAUUCCUGCACUAGAGCCAGUUUCCUGACUUGGAGGGUUGUGUGCCGGCCACCUGGGAGCGCAUCUUUGUUUUGGGGGAAGAUACAACGGACUGUUAAAGAACGAUGCGACAUCACAUCUGCAGCUUGUUUUCAGAGAUCGGUAAAGCACACAUCUGAACUC